RNAcentral lists this long non-coding RNA (3596 nucleotides) under Pongo abelii (Sumatran orangutan). RNAcentral describes it as "lincRNA". Lineage: Eukaryota; Metazoa; Chordata; Mammalia; Primates; Hominidae. The record is from RNAcentral.
GGGGUCUCUAGUAACCCACCUGGUCUGACACUGAGGAGACACCUACAGGCUGCUGAUCCCACAGUGAGGGUUCAGGAGAGGGUCUAGGUUUGGGGCUGGGUGUCAGGCAAGAAGGGGUCUCCUGGGAGGUGUCUGUGCCUUCACCUUGUUUCUGCCCUGGGCACCUCGCACUGGGCAGUGCUGGGUCCUUUCUGGACACCCCUAGGGUCCAGCUCUGCACAGGAGGCAACAGAUACAGGAAGGCCCAGGCAGGGAAGUGCUCACCACACUCCUGCCUUUCAUCUGAGUUGUGUCAGGGGUGGGUUCAGUUUCCAGGAGGACUCAUGGUGCCCUGUCCAGCCCACGAGGGCUGGAUUGGUUUAGCCCUCCCUCUGGGCUAAAGCAGAGGGUCCUGUGGACAUUGUGGGCAGGUUUGAUGUACUUGUGUGCUCCUCCAGCACCCUCGGGCACAUGGGGACAGGGUUCUGUGCACUUUCAGUGCCACAUGUGCCCUGGCUGUGAGCAUGUGCUUGCCCUGCAGAAGGCAGAUGUACCAGAGCCUCAGGAUGAGCUUGUGAUGAGCUUGAAGUAGGGGUUUGUGGGGACAGCAGGCAUGGGAGGACCUGGUCCUUCAAGGUGGAGGGCUGGUGGCCUGAGCAGGGCCUACUGCGGCCUCAGUCUGUGGUGCUGGGGGCCCCCAAUGCACGGGAUGAGACCUCCCACAGGGGGCUGGAUCAGAUAAGGUCUUGCGGCUUCUUAUAGGGGUGGUCUCAUCUCCAUCAAAUGUGGCCCCUGAAAGAGGAAGCUCCCCAAGUACUCUCCUAAGAAGAGUCCUGGCCCAGUCUGCCCAGCAUGCUGGCCCUGAGUCCCAGCCACAGCCGUGUGAUGCCACCUCUCAGGCAGGGCAUGGUUUGUUUGCCCUGCAGGGACCUGCCUCUGCCUGUUGUGCAGAGGAAGGGAGCUGGGUCCUUCUGGAGGAGCCAGACCCCUAAGCUGGGGAAGCCAGGCCUUGUAGGGCAGCAGGGUCCCUGGCCUGGGGUCUCCUGUGCACACUUGUCCCAUCAAUCAAGCACUGUAGGAGCAAUUUUAAGGUGGCAAUCUGGGUACACAACAUUUUCUUGUCUUCACGGAAGGAGCAGAGGUGUUCAGAGCCCCCUGGACUGCCCUGAAAACCUCACUAUUCCAGGCCUCUCUGCAGACCCUUCCAAAGGCCAGAACUCCAGGCAGUAGGCUGGGCUGUCACCCUCUUCUCUGAGACCCUACCCCUGUCCUGAGACCUCCCCAUUUCCCCUCAGAUGCCCCAUCCCUUCGGAUUGCCCACCUCCCCUGGGACCCUCCAUGCCCCACAUGCCUUACUUGAUGCUGCAGCACUCUCUCAACAUGGCGUGGCUUCUGAAGAUGUGGCUCACUUCUAGGUCAUUCUGGUGCACAUUCACUGAGGACAUCUUGGCCUGCUUCAUUUUCUAUAGAGUAAGGCCAAGCCUCAGAACAGACACAAGACUCACUGUCAAAACUGCUGUCAUGAAAUAGGGGUUCUGGAAGGAAAGGAGGCUUUUUCUGCAGAAACUUCUCUUCAUUUCCAAAGCCAGGGAAAGUCAGCAGUGCGCAGCUCACCUGUGUUGCCCACGCCACUGUCUGCCCAGGAUUUGUGACUGACCGCUUCCGCCCCCUUGGGGUUGACUUUCCCUCCAUCUGGGUAACUGGGCUUCUGACACAGUCUGGCCUAUGCAUCCUGCUCUGGCUGGGACUGGAAGGACCAGACCUGGUGUUUCCCUGGGUUCUUGGCCUUCACCUUCUCGACAUUCAGUAGGGGUGACCAUGCUGGGCCCCAGACAUCUGUGAGGUUUCCUUUGUAGAUCCAAUGAGACAUCUCUGGACAGAAGAAUGCUCUGGUGAGACAGGCCUCAGGGUGACCCCAAGGGGGAUCCGAACCUAAGGAUUCUGGAAGCUUCCAGCCUUUGGCCUUACGGUUCCUCAGGAGAGGUUCAGUCUGCCUAGGACUGGGCCUCCUUUCCCAUGAAUAAAGAGUGAGCAAGAGCUCAGGUAGUGAGCUCUGAUCAGGAUUUAUUCCUUCCUUUGGGGUGACCAGAAGGUGUUCCUCUUCCUGGCUUAGAAGUGGCCGAGGCCCUAGCAUCAGAUUCCUCCCAGCAAGGUAAUCCUUGCAGGGAUGGGCAGGAGGGCUGGGGAUCAGGCCUGUUGUCCUUUCGGUGAGGACAGUGUGCCCUUCUCUGAGAGGCAGGCAGCACCAGGCAGCAACAAUGGGCACCUGUCCUAAACCCUGAAGAGCGGUCACGGGGGACAUUCACCGCUGUGCCUUCUUGUUCUUCCUAGAUGUAUUCCAGUUGUUAAGCAUUCAUAGCCAUUUAUCUGUGCAUCUGAUGCCCUGAUGUUUUUGCUGUAGAUAAGAAGUGAUGGAGUGAGCUGAGCUGCCAGGCUUCCUGGAGUGAUUCUUGGAUGCUGGGUCAUGUGCUUAGGGGCCCCAAUGUGAACUGGAAGGAGACAGAAUAGGAGAGAACCCAGCCCCUGAUGAGUGGGCACUGGUGGCCUGGCCUCAUGACCACAGGACACACUGUUCCCAGGGCACAGACACCCUGGGCUUUGGUUGGGUCUUGGUCUCCAAGUAGGGCCCUGGUGGGCAGCAGGCAGCGAUUCCUGAGACACUACUGUGAUUCUCAGUGGUGGCUGUGGUAAAACUCUUGCAGGGCUGGAGUUUAGUGUGAGAUUCAGCAGAAACUGUGGCCUCUCCCAGUGACAAUGUGUUACUCCCACUCACUAGCACCCAUGCCCACAGGCCACGGCCUCUGCCUCACCAAACCCCCGCCAAGUCGCACAUCUAUGGAGCAGCUCCCAUGCAGCAGGGUCAGGUUCUUACCUCCGCCUCCAAGGCACAGACAGGGGCAGCUCUGUCUCAAUGUAAGGCCAUGAGGAGACUGAGGACCUGGACCAGGCUGGGGGCCACCCCCUUUCCUGAGCAGGCCUCAGGGAAGGACCAGCCCCAUCCUCAUCUGACCCAGGUCUCAGCCCAGGAGCCCGCAUAGGGAAGAAAGAACAGACAGGGCCUCCAUGCUGGCUGACACUCAGGAGGGGCCGGGGCAAUGGAGCAGAGGGAGCAUGGGGCCAGGCAGAGGCUGCUCAGGAUCCAUGGGGGCUCAGGCUGCACAAUGGGGCUGCCCCUCUUGGGCUGCAUGCAGCAUCCCCUAUGGGAGCUGAGAAAGUCCAGUCCUGAGAUGGGACAGGGCUGCCCAGAAGUGUGUGGCUGGGCCCUGACAGAAGUCUCCCAAAAUGUGACUAUAUUGCCAGGCUCAGUUCCAGGAAUGCUGAGAAGUGCCCAGUACAGCGAGGAUGCACCUUAGUUAUAUAAAAUAAAUGAAUCUGGAGGACUAAAGUACAAUUUAAAGGUUAUAGUUACUAUUUUUAUGUUAUAUACUAGUGAUUUUUGAACAGGGUAAACUUUAGGUGCUUUGAACCAAAAGGAAACUACAUGAGUUCAUGUAUAUGUUAAAUUGUUUGACCACAGUCAUCAUUGAUAUGUAUAUGUAUAUAUAUAUAAUUAUGGGCUCAUUAAAUUUAAAUGCUAUAAAUAGGUAACAAAGAAUAAAGUUAAUUGAAAAACUGCA